CCCAGACUCCUACGGGAGGCAGCAGUGGGGAAUAUUGGACAAUGGGGGGAACCCUGAUCCAGCGACGCCGCGUGAGUGAAGAAGUAUUUCGGUAUGUAAAGCUCUAUCAGCAGGGAAGAAAGAAAUGACGGUACCUGACUAAGAAGCACCGGCUAAAUACGUGCCAGCAGCCGCGGUAAUACGUAUGGUGCAAGCGUUAUCCGGAAUGACUGGGUGUAAAGGGAGCGUAGACGGUUGUAUAAGUCUGAUGUGAAAGCCCACGGCUCAACUGUGGGAGUGCAUUUGAAACUGUCAGGCUGGAGUGCAGGAGAGGUAAGUGGAAUUCCUAGUGUGGCGGUGAAAUGCGUAGAUAUUAGGAG
Molecule: ribosomal RNA, 359 nt
Filed under: uncultured bacterium
Lineage: Bacteria
Description: bacterial SSU rRNA
Rfam family: Bacterial small subunit ribosomal RNA
Source: RNAcentral